Molecule: long non-coding RNA, 784 nt
Organism: Hemibagrus wyckioides
Lineage: Eukaryota; Metazoa; Chordata; Actinopteri; Siluriformes; Bagridae
Exons: 3
Source: RefSeq, a predicted model, not a curated record
AACGCUUGCCCCGCCUCUGGGGCCUUCUGAUUGGUCCAAUGUUCUGUGAGUGACAUUGAUGAGCUGCGCUGCUUGGAAAAGUUGAAAUCAUUUGAACAUGAGACGCGCGAGGGGCUGCAAAAGAUGCGCGCGCAGGGGUCAAACAUUCGUAUGUCGCAUUCAUUAAAAAUAAUGGAAAAGGAAUAAGGAAUAAAACACGUUCUGUGUGAAUGACCAACACAUGAAGCACACAAAUAUGACACAUGGCAAAUCUGCAUUAAACUUAUCGUCCUGAAGUUUCUCCUUCAUCUGUGAUUCCCGCAUGCUUCCGGUUUAUGUGCUGUUCAUCAUUGUCGUGUUUCCGGGACUCUGAAGCUCCGCUUUGUAAAGUUUGCAAGUUACAUUUGUCGAGGAAUUUAAUUGAUAAAUUAGGUUGAUUUCACAUUAAAAUAUCUUUAAAUAUUGGUUGAAUCUGAUACUUAACGCGCUAUAUGCAAUGGAAAUGUUUAUAGUCUGUGAUACAGAGCUAAGGACUAAAGAGUAAGUUGUCCUAGACACAAAGUGAGUUGUUGUGAAGAACUACUGGGACAAUUCCCUGUCUGACCACCAGAGGGGGCUAGCAGUUAAUAAACACAAGCUAUCAGCAAGAACUUUCACGGAUUACAGUGAACAUCGAUCAGUCGCUCCUUCAGUUUCUGAAAAGGAUCAGGUGGCAGGAGAGAUCAGCAGCGUGAGGGAGACUUGUUUCAGAUCUGUGAGGAAGACAGAAGCCACAAAAUAGAAUCAAUCAAUAUAUAAAUAACAC